This 253-nucleotide ribosomal RNA is filed under the name uncultured bacterium. RNAcentral's name for it is "partial 16S ribosomal RNA". It matches the Rfam family "Bacterial small subunit ribosomal RNA", at positions 524 to 776 of the family's 1533-position model. The record is from RNAcentral.
UACGUAGGUGGCAAGCGUUGUCCGGAUUUACUGGGCGUAAAGAGCGCGCAGGCGGUCGGAUAAGUCGAAUGUGAAAGCCCCCGGCUCAACUGGGGAGGGUCAUUCGAUACUGUUCGACUCGAAGGCAGGAGAGGGAAGUGGAAUUCCCGGUGUAGUGGUGAAAUGCGUAGAUAUCGGGAGGAACACCAGUGGCGAAGGCGGGUUGCUGGGCUGAGACUGACGCUGAGGCGCGAAAGCUAGGGGAGCGAACGGG